Molecule: long non-coding RNA, 2220 nt
Organism: Ooceraea biroi (clonal raider ant)
Lineage: Eukaryota; Metazoa; Arthropoda; Insecta; Hymenoptera; Formicidae
Source: RefSeq, a predicted model, not a curated record
AACACUAAAUAAAAUUUUAAGUAGAAAAUUUUAGAAAAUUUCGUUUUGUUUUAAUAUUUUUUUUACUAGUUUAUUUUUUCACUGAUAAAUAUCAAUUUUUAGACCACCUUGUAUGUACGCAUGUGGUGCAUGCGACACGCUAUACGUUGCAGCUGAAUUUGCAACGACGGCGUCUCUAAUCCUCUUUGGCGAAUGAUUAAAACUAAUCCGAGCGACGUUUAAAAAUAAUAAGCAACACAACAUUGUUCCAUUAACUGCUAUUUUACUAUCUUUGUUACAUGUGUUGUAAAGGAUUGAAAUACAUUACGUGAAUUAUGAUUAUCUUGUGUAAACAACUUUUUAGUAGGAUUUUGUAUUGAUAUAAAAAUAUUUAUAGCUUCUGUUUAUAAUAUAUGUUAAAUAAUAUUUAUUGUUUUAUAUUGUUUCAUAUUAUUAGGCCACGGAAAUCUUUUUUAACAUAUGCAUAGUUUUGCAUUCUUAUACUAUUGCAUUACAUGCAUCUUGAUACUCGAGCGAUUUCCAGCUAGGCUGUGAAUGAUGAAUAGGACAUUCGAUAAAGCGAGACCCCCACGUUUGCUAAACAGAGAGACUCCGAGAAAUCAAAGAUUCAAUUGUACUCUCCUUUGCUCUCUCAUCUUUGUAAUAGUGUGAAGUCCGAGUUUAUUUUACUUUUAUGUAUCGUAAGAAAAUGUAAGAAUAUCUUGGAAGAAAAUGCAGAAGCUGCGUUUAAUCUUUAUAAUGUUAUUUAUAUCACGCAUACUUAAAGAUGAUAAAUAUAAUCCAUUUAUAUUAUAAAACUAAUAUACAAAACAUCGAAAUAAGUGAUUAAGAAAUGAUACGGUAGCCGUGACAUAGCUUAUAUUUGGAUGAUAACAUGAUAGCAUUAAGUCUAAUAUCUUUGAGCAGCGCACUGAGGGUGAAAGAGAAAAAGAAAGACUAAGGGAGAAAAGGGGAAUACAGUGGGCGACUUUAAUGACUUCUCGAGGCUGUUUCAAUAGAGUACGACUGUUUGCCGUUGCAUCAUCACUAUAUACUGAGUGUCCUACUGCCAAUCGACUAUUCUAAUCGCUUGCUGACACGUUUCUUAAUUAUUUCAUAAAUAACUUUUCUUUGACGGAAAUGCAAGGAGAAAUUUAACUCUUGGGUUUUUAAUCUUCAAUAAUUAUUUUUAUAAUUUUUGUAACACUUACAUUCGUUAUUAUUUAUUUUUAUGUUAACAUUUAUUGUAUAGCUGAUAUUAGGUAUAUUAUUACAAUAAUUAGUUUUUAUAAUUUUUGUAACACAUUCGUUAUAAUUUAUUUUUAUAAUUUAGUAUAUAGCUGAUAUUAGGUUUUUGUUACUUUUUUUAUCAUCCUUUUAAGUAUAGGCAGUAAACAAAAAUGUAGGAAAUUUUAAUUAAUCCUAAUAAGUCUAUAUAUUGUUGGUAAUAUUCGGUAGGAUUAGAUAAUUGGUGCUGAAACUCAAGAAUUUACGGACGUUGCGUGACACACGCUCUUCUUUCAUUAUUAUUUCAUGAAGUAAACCUAUACAGCCACUACCAUUAUCACAUAAAUGGUUAAUGAUAGAGAGAUGCGGUAAUGACGCUAAAUACAUCUGUACAAUGUACGGUACCCGAAAGGAUUUUAAAAGAUUUUUGAGAGAGAAGACAAUUCAAGAUCCAUUCUAUUAUAGAUUUAAAAAAUUAAUUUUUUAUCUUCCAUUUUACAUUUUAUGUUUGCCUGUUAUAUCUUGCAUAUUUUUAUAUUAUUUUAUUUGCAGAAGGCGCGUGAGGAUUCUUCAGCGGAUUCGGUAGGGGAAGCAAACACUAAGUUUUGUUCUCUUUUUAAUCAAACUUGAGAUUAUAACAAAGAUGUGUUGAAGAAUACUCACUCUCUGAGAGGCCUCGGUGGGAAAGAAAAAACUUAAGUCCUGUCCUGUUCCUAAGUACUAGUGCCGCAGGAGUGAUUAGGCUGGGCAAGACGUUACCAUAUCUCCUGCUGCUCAAGUGCUUAUCAACGGGUCGGGACGCAUGUCAACUUUCGAUCGUGAGCUAAGGUGUAAGGGAAUAAUGUUAGGCUGUAUUUAUUUUGUUUCAUAUAUAUUAUUUUGUAGAGUGUCAUAAAAUGGCGUGAGAGAGAAAGAGAGAGAGAGAGAGAGAAAGUGCGAAAAUGAAACAAAAAAUGUAGUUUCUAAUGAAUGUAAGCGCGAACAGAAAUCGCUAUAUAACAUAUGGAACUACUA